UCCCUGAGUAAAGUGGCGUACGGGUGAGUAACACGUGGGUAAUCCACCCUUUAGUGGGGAAUAACCCUGGGAAACCGGGGCUAAUACCGCAUAAGCCUGAGAAGGGAAAGCAGCAAUGCACUGAAGGAGGAGCCCGCGGCCGAUUAGCUAGUUGGUGAGGUAACGGCCCACCAAGGCGAUGAUCGGUAGCCGGCCUGGGAGGGCACACGGCCACACUGGCACUGAAACACGGGCCAG
Molecule: ribosomal RNA, 237 nt
Filed under: uncultured bacterium
Lineage: Bacteria
Description: partial 16S ribosomal RNA
Rfam family: Bacterial small subunit ribosomal RNA
Source: RNAcentral